CGGCUGGCCAGGUAUCAACAUAGUCAGUCAGUGCACUUGUUGGUGAUACGUCGAUUCAACCUGAAGGUAGCGAGAGAUCACUUGUUUUGUGACCGUAUUGCAGGUUAUUAUUCCAACCUUGCUCUAACGUUAAGUCAACUACACAAGGUCUCGGUGAGCAGGUGUGUUUUGAGCAAGGCUGGAACAAAAACCUGCACACCAGUUCUCCAAGGGUUAGGGUUGGACAUCCUGGCAUCUGCUCCAAUAUACCGAGGGUGGCGUGAUUCAUUAUAACCAGGUCCCUGUGUUUUGGUUAAUUCAUUAUAACCAGGUCCCUGUGUUUUGGUUAAUUCAUUAUAACCAGGACCCUGUGUUUUGGUUCAUUCAUUAUAACUAGGUCCCUGUGUUUUGGUUGAUUCAUUAUAACCAGGACCCUGUGUUUUGGUUCAUUCAUUAUAACUAGGUCCCUGUGUUUUGGUUGAUUCAUUAUAUCUAG
Molecule: long non-coding RNA, 475 nt
Organism: Oncorhynchus tshawytscha (Chinook salmon)
Lineage: Eukaryota; Metazoa; Chordata; Actinopteri; Salmoniformes; Salmonidae
Source: Ensembl